This is a long non-coding RNA of Syngnathoides biaculeatus (alligator pipefish), 1256 nucleotides long. RefSeq lists it as uncharacterized. The record is from RefSeq and is a predicted model, not a curated record. The transcript has 2 exons. Lineage: Eukaryota; Metazoa; Chordata; Actinopteri; Syngnathiformes; Syngnathidae.
CAGCAUGUGAGCUUGUGUGGAACAAAGAAAGCCUACCAGCAAAAGGAAUAAAUCAGUAACAAACAACUGAAGCAACCAAGAAGAAACUAAAAAAACCCAAAGGCACCCCUCAGUUUCCGGUCAGCUGCAACUGGUUUUCAACCUAAUCACUCUCCAACCACCCUCUAACCACCUUAACCAUCAAUAAACUGUGAAAAGAGGAAUAUUUGAGUUCAUGUGUUUGAAGACCAAGGCCCUUUUCAAGUUGAGGCAAAGAACUGAGGGAGUCAAAGACAAGUUGACAGUAUCCUAGACAUGUGUUGUUCUCAUUAAGCGGCAGUUUCUGGAUCAAUUUUAAUGGGACGAUUUUGUCACAUUAAAGCUGCUUGUAGACAUCUGGACAGACGUCAUCUCAGCAGUCAUCAAGAAGGUUCCACAGCAUCUCCAUGUCCUGAGAGUUCUCAAUAAAAACAACCUGGACAAAAAGUUGCUGCCGAUGUUCUACCACUCAUCCAUCAAGAACCUUCUGACGUGCUGCGUCUGCAUCUGCUCCAGGACCUGCUCUGAGGCAGACAGAGCAAGGUUUCAGAGGAGAAUUAAAGCAGCAUAGAAGAUCUUUGGCUGUUCUCUCCAUUCCAUGGAAGACAUCUAUUCCUCUCGAUGCCUCACCGGAGCUCUAAACAUUAAGGACACUACACACCCCGGUUCUCAACUGUUUGAGCUCCUGGAAUCUGGAAAGCACUACAGAUGCACAAAAGCAAGGACCAACAGACUGAGAAACAUUUUUCCUGAAAGCCAUCACCACCCUUUUUCCUCCAACCACAUAAUUAAUGUGAAAGCACGCUGAUUUCAACAUCAUGUGCAAUACACUUCAUGCAGGUCAUUUUACACAUCUAUUUUUAUCUAUAUUUAUUUUUUUACUCUGCUUUUACGUAUGCACUGGCACAAGAGAAGCUCUCCUAUCUCACUGCACAGUGUAUAUAAUGAGAAUCAAUGGCAUUCAUUCAUAUCCUACCAGUUGUUAUGCUGAUGAAAUGCAAUUAUAAAUAAGGACAACCCCCACUUCAAUCUCUGCCAACAUCCACUCUGACCACCUGCCUGGUGGAGAUAAGAGGCAAGGAUGAUGGCCAAUUUCCUUCAGCUAAAUAGUUCAAAAUAAGAAACCAUCCAAAUUGCCACACAUUAUCAAGUCCAUUUACAAGUAUCACGUCUGUUCAAAACAUACCGCUUUCCUCAUCUGUCACCAACUUGGCUAUUAAAAUGGAUGCUUCACUGAA